This is a long non-coding RNA of Oreochromis aureus, 1083 nucleotides long. Lineage: Eukaryota; Metazoa; Chordata; Actinopteri; Cichliformes; Cichlidae. The record is from Ensembl.
UAGAAGUAGCCAGCGAAGAAUGUCAUCAGGGAAAGCAUCAGGCAGCGAAUGACAAAGGAAAAGUUCCUAAGGGAGAGGACAUCUGCAGCAAACUGACAAGUAACAGUGAGAUAGGAGGACUGGCAGUCAGAGAUGAAGGAUCGAUGCAGAUACAGAAUUUCAAACUGAUUCAGAAGGAACUAGUACAGUUUACAGAGUGCAUGGUCGCUUAUCUGUACCAAGCUCAAAAAAGAAAACUUACACAAUAACAGAAGACGAGAUCAAGCGCAGAAUCCAAGCAGAGAACAUGUCAGUUCAUGUUUUCAGAGGUUUGAUUGGGGGCCGUAAAGCCAAACUGCCCGCAAUGAUUCUUGACAGGCCUAAGAAGGCCAAAACUAAAGUAACGGUGUUUAGUGUUCUGAGUGAAGAGGAAGCUGGGGAGCUAGCCCUCGGGUUUGCCGGAAGAUUGGCCUGCGAUGUCACAAGAGACAUGGUCUGUAAAGGCAUCGACCAUUCAAGCGCUGAUAUGACAAAACAGACUCUUCGCAAAAUCCAACACAACCUUAAACAGGAACUGACUGAUUCCUCAACCUUCAGUUUGCUGACACACACCUUUGGCCCUGCUGCACUGGAUUCUGUCAUUUCUUUCUUGUGUGAAAAACUGGAUCUUGUCUCUUAAAUAAUGAAACCUUUUGUGACUUUUGUUUGUUCUGUAAAUCAGAAUCUUGAAAAUUGUUCACUGUUGUUUUAAGUUUGUAUUAAGUUAACUAUUUGGCAAAAAUGUUUGGUUCCUAAUCCAAACAGCAUAAUGACUGUUCUAACACAUGUCUUAAAAAUGCUACAAAGAAAGAAAAUUAUCACAUAUGUUUCAAUAUGAAUGUAAUUGCGUCACACUCGGUUUGUAGUAGCUUUCCUGUUUUAUUUUGUGAGUUUUGGUAUGUUCAUCUGACCAAGAACUAAUGAUUGUUUUGCAGACACCUUUAAUGAAAUCAAACAUGGAGAACUAUGCAAAACAGUUAGUAUUUGUGGACACCACCCACUGUGUUAACCAGUAUUCAUUUCCCUUAUUCACACUUGUUGUAAGAGAUGAUCAUGGGCGUGGAG